CCCUUUGACCCUAAUGACAGAUGCUACGAGUGUGGUGAGAAAGGCCACUAUGCUUAUGAUUGUCACCGCUAUAGUCGCCGAAGGAGGAGCAGGUUUCUUCGUUUGAGUCAGUCGCCUUGAUUCAGAAUGUCACGAGCCUUAAGAUUUCAUGCUGAGGCGCCUUGCAAAUCCGACACUUAAGAUCCUCCUAGACCUUGAGGUGAUCAGCAUAAGAGGCCAGAUCCCCUCGAGCCAUCUACACGUAGCUUCACCUUAUUCUUUAAGGGCAGAAAAUUUGAGACGGUGAUCGCCGUAACAGUAAAUUUGGCUUUCAAUUGGGGCCCCCCUCCGGUUUAGAAAGAGGAACACCAGAUUGACCACAUUCCCACCUAGAAAAAUCUUCUUGCGUCAAUCAAGCCUCACCCUGGCUCAUUGGGCUGUCAGUUUGAUCGUCGUUAGAUUGAAGAGAACACCUAGAUGCAGCGAUCGGCUAUAGAUACUUCUAGAUCGUCUAGAUCUGCUAGACCUUGGGCCAAAGAGGGUCGACCUGCAAACUUGCAAGGUUUAUUUUAAAUACACAUUACAGUGUUUUCUAUUCUAAUGUAAUUCUGCAAUGUAAUUCAGCUUUUAACAUUUUUCUAGGUAGUAAAAUGCUCAAGACAAGUAGGCCCAGAGAUUUUUCCAACUGACAGAUGCUAGUGGUGUGUUUUUGUUGGUUUGGUUUGGUUUGGUUUUUUUUUUUUUUUCUUUUUAGUUGUCUGAAAUCAGUUUUGACUUCAGCAGGGCCUCACAUGCACUGAUUGCUGCAGCUGUUUCCUGAUACCUGUUUUCUCUAACCUAAAACCAGGUCCCGGUCUAGAUCCCGUUCAAGGUCCCGAGGAAGAAGGUAUUCUCGGUCACGCAGUCGGAGUCGUGGUAGGAGAUCAAGGUCAGCUUCCUACCGCAGGUCCAGAUCAAUCUCUCCUCGUAGGUAUAGAUCAUUUUCACCCCGCAGAUCUCGAUCUGGUUCUUUAAGGAGAUCAAGAUCUAGGUCCAGAUCACGCUCAAGGUCCCGGUCUGUUGUAUGGCCUCGAAGCAGUCGCUCAAAGUCCAGAUCACCAUCUCCAAAGAGAAGUCACUCACCAUCAGGAAGCCCUUGAAGGAGUGCAAGUCCUGAAAGAAUGGAUUCAAAUUUAAAAAGUUUAAGAAGAAAAUUUAUUUUGUUUACAUUAUUAUAAGGGAUUUUGUGGUGUCUUUAUAAAUGUAAGGGCUUAGGCCUAGAAGGCUGUUUCUAUUGACUAACAAUUGGCAUGAAUCUGAAUCUUUUAAAAGUCUUAUUAGUAGACUAAUGCAAAACUCUUUUGUUGUGUUAACGUUCUGUGAUCUGGAAAUGUUGGGCUUUUUUUAUUGGCGCAUUGAAAUAAACUGUGCAUUUCUAAUGAAGAAAUAUUUUGUGAUAACCCUGCUGUUUCUGUUAACAUUUGGGUAGCUGAAGCAGGUCAUGUGCCACUGUGGUGAAAAGCAGGUGGCAGGCUGUUGCAGGCACUUGUGAAUUGAGCGUAGUGCAGCAGCCAGUCGAGGGCUGUCCUGCAGGCGUGUGCCUGUGGCAGGACUUCUUCCUACACGUGCAGAUGGGAGUUGCCAGUACCAGCUGUCGUUCUUUCUCACUGUUCGGUCUUGAAUGUUCUGGUGAUCUGUACCUUGUGGUUUUAUUUGCACCUCCUCAAAGCUCAGUGAAGCUGAAAACCUGUCUGGAGGUGCUUGUACACUUGAUGAUUUGACUGACUGACUUAGAAAAAUGUCUACAAAGGGCAUUAACAGAUGGAAAAACCAAGGAAUGUGUGAAUGCUGGUCUCCCUGUCCUGUUGAUUAAAGGACUUGAAGGUAUUUGGAAUACUUCUGGAAUGUAAACUAUUGAAGUAAAUAUUUUUAGAAGUCUUGUUUUAUGUCCUGGUUGUCCAAAUAGUACUACUUCCUUGCAUACUUAAGAUAAAUUGGCUGUUCUGGUGCAGAAGAUGAUAGAUAGAUUUAGAUACUCUUUUUAGGAAAUGAAGGCUUUUCUUAGAAAUUGAAGGUCACAACCAGAACCUGCAGGUCAUGUUUAAAUAGCAGUACAUUUGGGGAAUCCACCCCUCAGUUACACCUGUCUGCCCUGAACUGCCUGGUCACAUCUUCUUCAGCAGCAAAGUGUAGCCAAGGGACUUGCUGUGUCCCAUUCAGUUGUUGCUUUGGGAAACUGGACUACAGCUGCCUGUAUACAGAUGGUCCCACUGCUGAUAGCUGAAGGAUUUAGUCUAAGUAUGAUAAACGAGUGCAAGGUCUUUGCCAGUUUGAUUUGUCUUUGCAGCUGAUGAUGGCUAUUAUCAGACUAGUAAGGAAAUCAGAGUGCUAGAUGAUUUUUGACUUAGCAGUCUUCCUUACAGUAUGUUCUGGCCUAUAUUCCUGUGUCUUACAGGCUAGCGAGGAACAAUAAUUCUCUUGGGGCUUCCAAUUUGUCAGCAGUGGGUUGGUACUCUACUGUUAGAGUAGAGCACUGCAGCUGCGCAUGGGCACCCAACCCCAGGUUUUCAGAGGAACGUUGGUCAUUGUUGCUUUACAAGAUGUCCAGGUAUUAAAAGAAUGAUAAUGAGCCCCUAUACAUAAUUUCACAGACUCAUCCUGUGUACUACAGUACGUUUGUCUCAUCCCUUGUCUCUUCUCUCUUCCCCAUUUUUGUACAUUUUAGUGCAUUGGUGCUUAGUAGAAUAAGUAAGUGACUUUCCUUGCUGAUGCUGCUGCAAUUAAUAUUUUGUUACAACCCUAGUCCGUUAUAAGCUGCAGAAGAGGGAGCUGGAAGCAACAGCAUUAAACUAGGCUGACCCAAAAGCUAAACACUGCUUGGGGGGGGAGGAUUUAUUGGGUUCUCUUCCCCCUGCCCCACUGCAGUUUACAGCAUUGAUGGUAAAACUACCCCAUGUGACAGUGCUUAUAAGGGGGGGGGGGGGUAUAGCUUUUUCUUAUUUUCCCUCUGUACUGCUGAAGCAAGCUGACUGCAAU
RNA transcript from Haliaeetus leucocephalus (bald eagle), 2994 nucleotides. It is a transcript of the gene named serine/arginine-rich splicing factor 7-like, with no coding region annotated. The record is from RefSeq and is a predicted model, not a curated record. The transcript is spliced from 6 exons. NCBI's taxonomy places the organism in Eukaryota, Metazoa, Chordata, Aves, Accipitriformes, Accipitridae.